GGUGAACAGCGAAGCCGCAUGCGCGGAAAGACGUAGGGGGGUUGCUUUGAUAUGAAAUACUGGGCGUCAAGCUCACGCAGGCGGAGUAGUAAGUCAGAGGUCAAAGGCUACGGCUCAACAGUAGUAAGACUCUGAAACGGAUGAACUUGAGUAUAGUAGAGGAAAGUGGAAUUCCCAGUGUAGCGGUGAAAUGCGUAGAUAUUGGGAGGAACACCAGUGGUGAAGGCGACUUUCUGGACUAUAACUGACGCUGAGGCACGAAAGCGUGGGGAGCAAACAGGAUUAGAUACCCGUGUAGUC
RNAcentral lists this ribosomal RNA (300 nucleotides) under uncultured Clostridium sp. RNAcentral's name for it is "bacterial SSU rRNA". It matches the Rfam family "Bacterial small subunit ribosomal RNA", at positions 495 to 795 of the family's 1533-position model. Lineage: Bacteria; Bacillati; Bacillota; Clostridia; Eubacteriales; Clostridiaceae. The record is from RNAcentral.